AGUGGGGUAGCUGGACCAAAUGGUGGUUCCAUUCCAAGUUUUCUGAGGAAUCUCCAUACUGCUUUCCAGAUUGGUUGCACCAAUUUGCAGUCCCACCAGUAAU
This 103-nucleotide microRNA precursor is filed under the name Marmota monax (woodchuck). Lineage: Eukaryota; Metazoa; Chordata; Mammalia; Rodentia; Sciuridae. The record is from RNAcentral.